Molecule: transfer RNA, 61 nt
Filed under: Proisotoma minuta
Lineage: Eukaryota; Metazoa; Arthropoda; Collembola; Entomobryomorpha; Isotomidae
Description: tRNA-Val
Source: RNAcentral
UGUAGCAGAGCUUGUUAAAGCGUUUCAUUUACAUUGAGGAGAAUCUUAAUUGAUGUUAUAA